Non-coding RNA from Podarcis lilfordi (Lilford's wall lizard), 1402 nucleotides. The record is from the annotation of a GenBank genome assembly. NCBI's taxonomy places the organism in Eukaryota, Metazoa, Chordata, Lepidosauria, Squamata, Lacertidae.
GACUCACCAUGGAGACAUGACCUCCUCCUGCUUCUUGUUGAUAGUAAAUCUGGGCUUUCUUCUGUAUAAAGUGUAGAAUGGCAUCCUCACAAAUACUAGCUCCAGACCCAUUCUGAACCAGAGAGGGCUUUCGGCACUGUCCUUCUCCUGAGUAAUGUGCAUGAACCCUGAUUCUUUGCAUAUUUGAAAUUGUGGCUGCUGCUUGAAAGCAGCUGUUGCCUAAUGGGUGGGAUGCUGGAUGUAGCACAUUGGGUGGGCUUGUUCCAGUCACUAUUGUGCAGCCAAGCCUACCUCAAGUGAUUGUUGCGAAGACAAAGUGGGGAACAGGAGAAGCCAUGUAUGCUACAUGUAUCAGCAGAUACAUUUGUAGUGCGAUCCUGUACAUGUCAGCCCGGAUACCUCAGUUGCUUAGAGCAUGGUGCUGAUAAGGCUAAGGUUACAGGUUCAAUCCGCAUAUGGGACAGCUGCAUCUUCUUGGGGUUGGACUAGAUGAUCCUCAGGAUCCCUUCCAACCGGGGACGGAGGAAGAGGGUGCGGUGGGGGCAGGCCGCCCCGGGUGUCGCCACCGAGGGGGGUGACAAAAUGCUUGGCGGAACUCACCGCGGGGCCUGCAGUGACGCGGUGGCUUGGGCGCCCACAGGCUCCGCGCUGCCCCAAAUGGUCCACCCGCCACCCCCCCUCAGUUGUAGGGAAGGUGAGUGGGAGGAGGCAGACAGACUCCUCAGAGGCCCCGCGGAGCGUCCUGGCCUGGCUUGCCCCGGGCACAGAGCGCACGCGCCGCCCCAGGCGCCUGAUCGGCUUGCUCCGCCGCUGCUUCCAACUGUAUAAUUCUAUGUCUACUCAGAAGUAAGUCCUACUGAGAUCAGUGAGGCUCAUUCAGGUAAGCGGGUAUAAGAUUGGAGAUUUCAUAAGAAAUCCAAUAUUCAGGUAACUUGCAACUUGCACACAUUUAACUUGUGCUUAUUCAGCGUUUUGCACUUGGUAAAAUACUUUUCAAAAAAAUUAUUGGGGGGACAGAAACAGUGCAGGCAUGGGGGGGGGAGAGACUGGCAACCCCACCUGCCAUUGAACCCAAUGUGUUUUGACAAUACGCAAUUUUGACUUAUAACACGCUGUUCCUGGAACGUAACCCCUAAGUUGACAGAUGUCUGUACAUUCAUAUUGCUUUCAUUUGCGCAAGCAUUUUAAUUGAGGGAGCUGAUGUGAAGGCUCAAUAAGGUUGAAAGGUGUGUUUCAAAUUGGGAAAAAUAACAGGAAGCUUCCAUAUUUCAAUUUGGGCCUUGGGUUGUCUCCUUACAGAGUUCCAGGUUCACAGGGAGACUCUCCACUAGUGAAUCAAUAUCUUCAUAAACAACAAAUACUCCAAAAGCAAAGUCCCUUGAUUAACACAACCCAGAUAAGC